GUCCCUCUGGUGCAGUGGUUCUUAACAGUUCAACAGUUCUAUCUCAAAAUUGUGAAAUGUUUAGGACCACUUGACCAG
Molecule: microRNA precursor, 78 nt
Filed under: Danio rerio (zebrafish)
Lineage: Eukaryota; Metazoa; Chordata; Actinopteri; Cypriniformes; Danionidae
Description: mir-203 microRNA precursor family
Rfam family: mir-203 microRNA precursor family
Source: Rfam by way of RNAcentral